GGGCGCCGUUGUUAUUAGGCGCGGCGAGGCGGGUGGCGCGCGGCAGCAGGGUUGGGCUCUCGCCGUGAGUCGACGAAGGGAGCGCGGGCGCGCGCCCGCGUCCGCGCACUGAGAGUCGCCUCGGCCGCUCGCUUUCUCGACUCCCGCCUCGCGCCUCGAUCCUGUUCCGCCUCCCUCGGCCCUCCUGCCCGCCCCCACUCGUCGGCCCUCAGCUCAGAGACCUAAUAGGAUGGGGUCUUAGAGAAACAUCUUUUGAGCCACAGACUUCUUUGUUACCAGAAGGAAAAUGAAAGAAGAAAUUUAAAUACCACUUGAAGAGAGGUGCUGCCCAGUUCAUGAGUGCUGCUGCUGUCCUGCCCAAGUACCCAGCUUGCAGAGUGCCAGAGUUAGAGUCCCAGGGGUGUUCUCCACAGCUGCAUGCUUGAUCCAGGCCUAUCAGGUGUUAUUUGUUGACGGAACCAGGCAUCAUCAGCAAACAAAACUGACAAAGCUUCCUGCCCUCUGUGGAAGGCAUCUGAGGAAGAGACUGGAUUUUGUAGCAACAUGUUAUUCUCAUUAUAAACUUUAUCAUUGGAAUACUAAAGCCAAAUCAUCCCCCAUCUCCUUGAUCAGGAUACCCACUUAAUCUAGGCAGCUACACAAUUGUGAGAGCCUUUGUUUUUUUCUGCUGAAACAUCCUUAAAAAGAUACCUCACAACCCAAGAUUUGGCUUUUCUUAAAUACGAUUUUUAAUUUUUUUCAUUUCUAUCUAGAGAUUUAAUUGGAAAUGGAAAAUCAUCAAUUUUCCAAUUAAAUGUCUGUUCCAAUCAACAUUAUACCUUUUAGGUUGUCAUUGUCAUUUUUAAGUUUAAGCAACUUUAAGGAUUUUGAAUCUGGCUGCCUGUAAAUUAAAGGUGAAAGUAAUCAUUGUGUUGGAUUGGAACAUUUUGUCAAUUGAGAGUGGUUUCCUUGUUCUUAGUGUAUGAAAAGUUUAUUUUUCUAAUGUAGAUUAAUAAAGGAGAUAAAGAAAAACAAAA
This 1016-nucleotide long non-coding RNA is filed under the name Homo sapiens (human). RNAcentral's name for it is "synapse stability regulating cerebellar lncRNA". Lineage: Eukaryota; Metazoa; Chordata; Mammalia; Primates; Hominidae. The record is from RNAcentral.